RNAcentral lists this ribosomal RNA (417 nucleotides) under Bathymunida balssi. Its description in RNAcentral is "partial 16S ribosomal RNA". It matches the Rfam family "Bacterial large subunit ribosomal RNA", at positions 1928 to 2609 of the family's 2925-position model. Lineage: Eukaryota; Metazoa; Arthropoda; Malacostraca; Decapoda; Munididae. The record is from RNAcentral.
AGGCCGCGGUAUAUUAACUGUGCAAAGGUAGCAUAAUCAUUAGCUUUUUAAUUGAGGGCUUGUAUGAAGGGUUGAACAAAGAAAAAGCUGUCUUUAUUUUUGAGGUUGAAUUUAACUUUUAAGUGAAAAGGCUUAAAUAAUCUUAAGGGACGAUAAGACCCUAUAAAUCUUUAUAUUAUAUUUUAUUGGGGUGAUAAGAAUAUAUAAUUAACUGUUUUUAAUAAAUUACAAAGUUAUUUGAUUAGUUUAAUAGAUCCUUUUUAGAGAGUUAAAGUUUAAGUUACUUUAGGGAUAACAGCGUUAUUUUUCUUGAGAGUUCUUAUCGAAAGAAGAGUUUGCGACCUCGAUGUUGAAUUAAAAUUUCUUUAUGGUGAAGGAGCUAUAAGUAGAAACUUUUAAAAUUUUACGUGAUCUGAG